AGCGAACGCUGGCGGCAGGCCUAACACAUGCAAGUCGAACGAAAACUUCGGGCUUAGUGGCGGCCGGGUGCGAACCACGUGGGAACGUGCCUUUAGGUUCGGAAUAACUGAGGGAAACUAGUCGUAAUACCGACUGAGACCUCCGAGGGAAUGAUUUAGCGCCUUUAGAGCGGCAGGCGACGGCUUAGCUUGUUGGUGGAGGUAAUGGCUCACUAGAGCGACGAGCAGUAGCUGGUCUGAGAGAAUGGUCAGACACAUUGGGAGUGAGACACGGCCCACACUCCUGCGCGAGGCAGCAGUGGGGGAUCCAGCACAAUGGCCGGAAGCCUGACGCAGCCAUGCCGCGUGAAUGAUGUUGUUCGUAGGAUAGUGGAAUUCUUUCAUCGGGGACGAUAAUGACGGUACCCGGAGAAGAAGCCCCGGCUAACUUCGUG
RNAcentral lists this ribosomal RNA (434 nucleotides) under uncultured bacterium. Its description in RNAcentral is "partial 16S ribosomal RNA". It matches the Rfam family "Bacterial small subunit ribosomal RNA", at positions 29 to 507 of the family's 1533-position model. The record is from RNAcentral.